Salvelinus fontinalis (brook trout) is the source of this 206-nucleotide long non-coding RNA. RefSeq lists it as uncharacterized. The record is from RefSeq and is a predicted model, not a curated record. The transcript is spliced from 2 exons. Lineage: Eukaryota; Metazoa; Chordata; Actinopteri; Salmoniformes; Salmonidae.
AACAAUGAACCCAGUGGAACAUCUGCCCACUGAGAGGUCUGUUACAACAGGGCAGGGCAUCAUACUCCUAAACAAUGAACCCAGUGGAACAUCUGCCCACUGAGAGGUCUGUUACAACAGGGCAGGGCAUCAUCCUCCUAAACAAUGAACCCAAUGGAACAUCUGCCCACUGAGAGGUCUGUUACAACAGGGCAGGGCAUCAUCCU